Molecule: ribosomal RNA, 576 nt
Filed under: Glyphoglossus molossus (blunt-headed burrowing frog)
Lineage: Eukaryota; Metazoa; Chordata; Amphibia; Anura; Microhylidae
Description: partial 16S ribosomal RNA
Rfam family: Bacterial large subunit ribosomal RNA
Source: RNAcentral
AAAAACAUCGCCUCCUGAACCAACCAUAGGAGGUCCAGCCUGCCCAGUGACAAAGUUAAACGGCCGCGGUACCCUAACCGUGCAAAGGUAGCGCAAUCACUUGUUCUUUAAAUGAGGACUAGUAUGAAUGGCAUCACGAGGGUUAUGCUGUCUCCCUGAUCUAAUCAGUGAAACUGAUCUUCCCGUGAAGAAGCGGGGAUAAAAAUAUAAGACGAGAAGACCCCAUGGAGCUUCAAACUCAACAUCAACUGCCCACACUAUACAACAUAUUAAACACGCAGACCUGAUUGUUAGUUUUCGGUUGGGGUGACCGCGGAGUAAAACAAAACCUCCACGAUGAACGGGGCUAGCCCCCUAAUCCAAGAGCUACAGCUCUAAGAAUCAACAAACUGACAGAAUUUGAUCCAAUUCUUUGAUCAACGAACCAAGUUACCCUGGGGAUAACAGCGCAAUCCAUUUCAAGAGCUCAUAUCGACAAAUGGGUUUACGACCUCGAUGUUGGAUCAGGGUAUCCCAGUGGCGCAGCCGCUACUAACGGUUCGUUUGUUCAACGAUUAAAACCCUACGUGAUCUGAG